This 1460-nucleotide ribosomal RNA is filed under the name uncultured organism. Its description in RNAcentral is "SSU rRNA". It matches the Rfam family "Bacterial small subunit ribosomal RNA". The record is from RNAcentral.
CAGAUUGAACGCUGGCGGCAGGCCUAACACAUGCAAGUCGAACGGUAACAGGAAGCAGCUUGCUGCUUUGCUGACGAGUGGCGGACGGGUGAGUAAUGUCUGGGAAACUGCCUGAUGGAGGGGGAUAACUACUGGAAACGGUAGCUAAUACCGCAUAACGUCGCAAGACCAAAGAGGGGGACCUUCGGGCCUCUUGCCAUCGGAUGUGCCCAGAUGGGAUUAGCUAGUAGGUGGGGUAACGGCUCACCUAGGCGACGAUCCCUAGCUGGUCUGAGAGGAUGACCAGCCACACUGGAACUGAGACACGGUCCAGACUCCUACGGGAGGCAGCAGUGGGGAAUAUUGCACAAUGGGCGCAAGCCUGAUGCAGCCAUGCCGCGUGUAUGAAGAAGGCCUUCGGGUUGUAAAGUACUUUCAGCGGGGAGGAAGGGAGUAAAGUUAAUACCUUUGCUCAUUGACGUUACCCGCAGAAGAAGCACCGGCUAACUCCGUGCCAGCAGCCGCGGUAAUACGGAGGGUGCAAGCGUUAAUCGGAAUUACUGGGCGUAAAGCGCACGCAGGCGGUUUGUUAAGUCAGAUGUGAAAUCCCCGGGCUCAACCUGGGAACUGCAUCUGAUACUGGCAAGCUUGAGUCUCGUAGAGGGGGGUAGAAUUCCAGGUGUAGCGGUGAAAUGCGUAGAGAUCUGGAGGAAUACCGGUGGCGAAGGCGGCCCCCUGGACGAAGACUGACGCUCAGGUGCGAAAGCGUGGGGAGCAAACAGGAUUAGAUACCCCUGGUAGUCCACGCCGUAAACGAUGUCGACUUGGAGGUUGUGCCCUUGAGGCGUGGCUUCCGGAGCUAACGCGUUAAGUCGACCGCCUGGGGAGUACGGCCGCAAGGUUAAAACUCAAAUGAAUUGACGGGGGCCCGCACAAGCGGUGGAGCAUGUGGUUUAAUUCGAUGCAACGCGAAGAACCUUACCUGGUCUUGACAUCCACGGAAGUUUUCAGAGAUGAGAAUGUGCCUUCGGGAACCGUGAGACAGGUGCUGCAUGGCUGUCGUCAGCUCGUGUUGUGAAAUGUUGGGUUAAGUCCCGCAACGAGCGCAACCCUUAUCCUUUGUUGCCAGCGGUCCGGCCGGGAACUCAAAGGAGACUGCCAGUGAUAAACUGGAGGAAGGUGGGGAUGACGUCAAGUCAUCAUGGCCCUUACGACCAGGGCUACACACGUGCUACAAUGGCGCAUACAAAGAGAAGCGACCUCGCGAGAGCAAGCGGACCUCAUAAAGUGCGUCGUAGUCCGGAUUGGAGUCUGCAACUCGACUCCAUGAAGUCGGAAUCGCUAGUAAUCGUGGAUCAGAAUGCCACGGUGAAUACGUUCCCGGGCCUUGUACACACCGCCCGUCACACCAUGGGAGUGGGUUGCAAAAGAAGUAGGUAGCUUAACCUUCGGGAGGGCGCUUACCACUUUGUGAUUCAUGA